GAUAGGAUGGCUGAAGUUUAGGCUAUAAAUUGUAAAUUUAUAUAUGGUAUAAUAUUAUCUCCUUUCA
Molecule: transfer RNA, 67 nt
Filed under: Adelphocoris suturalis
Lineage: Eukaryota; Metazoa; Arthropoda; Insecta; Hemiptera; Miridae
Also listed under: 1 other name
Description: tRNA-Tyr
Source: RNAcentral